CGUUAGCGGCGGACGGGUGAGUAACACUGGGUAACCUACCUAUAAGACUGGGAUAACUUCGGGAAACCGGAGCUAAUACCGGAUAAUAUUUCGAACCGCAUGGUUCGAUAGUGAAAGAUGGUUUUGCUAUCACUUAUAGAUGGACCUGCGCCGUAUUAGCUAGUUGGUAAGGUAACGGCUUACCAAGGCGACGAUACGUAGCCGACCUGAGAGGGUGAUCGGCCACACUGGAACUGAGACACGGUCCAGACUCCUACGGGAGGCAGCAGGA
This 271-nucleotide ribosomal RNA is filed under the name uncultured Staphylococcus sp. RNAcentral describes it as "partial 16S ribosomal RNA". It matches the Rfam family "Bacterial small subunit ribosomal RNA", at positions 90 to 354 of the family's 1533-position model. Lineage: Bacteria; Bacillati; Bacillota; Bacilli; Caryophanales; Staphylococcaceae. The record is from RNAcentral.